Molecule: ribosomal RNA, 429 nt
Filed under: Chloroflexota bacterium
Lineage: Bacteria; Bacillati; Chloroflexota
Description: Chloroflexi bacterium partial 16S ribosomal RNA
Rfam family: Bacterial small subunit ribosomal RNA
Source: RNAcentral
UGGGGAAUAUUGCACAAUGGGCGCAAGCCUGAUGCAGCCAUGCCGCGUGUAUGAAGAAGGCCUUCGGGUUGUAAAGUACUUUCAGUCGGGAGGAAGGUGUCAAGGUUAAUAACCUUGGCAAUUGACGUUACCGACAGAAGAAGCACCGGCUAACUCCGUGCCAGCAGCCGCGGUAAUACGGAGGGUGCAAGCGUUAAUCGGAAUUACUGGGCGUAAAGCGCACGCAGGCGGUUGAUUGAGUCAGAUGUGAAAUCCCCGGGCUUAACCCGGGAAUUGCAUCUGAUACUGGUCAGCUAGAGUCUUGUAGAGGGGGGUAGAAUUCCAUGUGUAGCGGUGAAAUGCGUGGAGAUGUGGAGGAAUACCGGUGGCGAAGGCGGCCCCCUGGACAAAGACUGACGCUCAGGUGCGAAAGCGUGGGGAGCAAACAGG